UACGGAGGGUGCGAGCGUUGUCCGGAAUCAUUGGGCGUAAAGGGCGCGUAGGUGGCCCGGUCAGUCUUUGGUGAAAGCGCGGGGCUCAACCCUGCGUCGGCCAGGGAUACUGCCGCGGCUGGAGCAUUGUAGAGGCAGGCGGAAUUCCGGGUGUAGCGGUGGAAUGCGUAGAGAUCCGGAAGAACACCGGUGGCGAAGGCGGCCUGCUGGGCAGUUGCUGACACUGAGGCGCGACAGCGUGGGGAGCAAACAGG
This 254-nucleotide ribosomal RNA is filed under the name uncultured bacterium. RNAcentral's name for it is "partial 16S ribosomal RNA". It matches the Rfam family "Bacterial small subunit ribosomal RNA", at positions 524 to 776 of the family's 1533-position model. The record is from RNAcentral.